This 441-nucleotide ribosomal RNA is filed under the name uncultured soil bacterium. Its description in RNAcentral is "bacterial SSU rRNA". It matches the Rfam family "Bacterial small subunit ribosomal RNA", at positions 26 to 518 of the family's 1533-position model. The record is from RNAcentral.
AGAGCGAACGCUGGCGGCAGGCCUAACACAUGCAAGUCGAACGGACCCUUCGGGGUUAGUGGCGGACGGGUGAGUAACACGUGGGAACGUGCCUUUUGGUUCGGAAUAGCUCCUGGAAACGGGUGGUAAUGCCGAAUGUGCCCUUCGGGGGAAAGAUUUAUCGCCAUUAGAGCGGCCCGCGUCUGAUUAGCUAGUUGGUAAGGUAAUGGCUUACCAAGGCGACGAUCAGUAGCUGGUCUGAGAGGAUGACCAGCCACAUUGGGACUGAGACACGGCCCAAACUCCUACGGGAGGCAGCAGUGGGGAAUCUUGCGCAAUGGGCGAAAGCCUGACGCAGCCAUGCCGCGUGAAUGAUGAAGGUCUAGGAUGUAAAAUCUUUCACCGGGACAUAAUGACGGUACCCGGAGAAGAAGCCCCGGCUAACUUCGUGCCAGCAGCCGC